GUGGAAUAUCAGGAUAACAACACCUACAGCUGUGUGCUCAACAAUCCCAUCAGCAACCAAACCAAACUUUUGGACAUCACUCAACUCUGUCACACAUGUGCAGAACUCUACCAACGUUCACAUACUGUACUGCUGCUAACACUUAUUCCAGUGGUUUUGGUCAUGACUGCACUAGGUGUGAUUAUCUGUUUCUACUUAAAACAAGCAAGAUGAGCAAUCUGAUGGAGCAGAAAACAUUAUGCACUCAAAUGAUGAUCUGACAAUCCAACAGACUGCAGUAGAUGUACGUACGACAGAUCUCUGAUACGGCUAUUCCAUAUGAUGCACUCUAAGAUCAUGAACAAAGUAAUUAUAUAACCAAAACUUGGUAUAGCAUGAUCAUGACUUUCAUGCCAUUUGGAUAAAAACAGUGAAAAAGCUUGUGACUGCAUUGAAUUAAUGUGCAUUAAGUAUGAGAAGCAUUGAUAGAGUAAUUGUUGUAUAUAGCAAGUGUUAAGCUUUUUGUUGCUGGACCCUGAUAUGUAUUUUUAUUUGCUUUUACAUAUCUAUAAUAACCAUUAUUUGGUCAUUUUUCUUUGACUGGAUGUCAAUGUUUUAUCUGUUUUAACUGAAUAAUUUAAUCACAUCCCUGAGGCCGUUACAGACAGAUAUCAGGACAAAGCCACAUUUUGUCAGGAAAUAUCAUAACAUUCCUUGUGGCACUGUCAGCACUUAUCCUGCUCAGACUUGAGAAAGAGCUAAUCCAUCUUUUCACAGCUGCCAACAAAACCAAGCACCAUCCUGUCUAGACUUGUGACUUGUCUUGGGAAAGAACAAAUUAAUUUGUAUUACAGUGUUAAGACACACAGUGUGCUCAGUUUAUUUUGGACAUUUGAAAAUUAUGCUUAUAAUAUACCGUAUCAGUGUUUCUGUAUCUUCAGUGUUUUAUUACAUGGCCCUGUUCUUGGGGAACUUCCUGCUGUGAUUUUGAGCCAGUUCAUCAAUUAUGGUUCUGGUGAUUUGGCUAAAGAACCUGUAUGUUGAAUGUUGUUUGUUCAGUAAAUAAACUUGACUGUGGACACUU
Sinocyclocheilus grahami is the source of this 1063-nucleotide long non-coding RNA. RefSeq lists it as uncharacterized. The transcript is spliced from 3 exons. The record is from RefSeq and is a predicted model, not a curated record. Lineage: Eukaryota; Metazoa; Chordata; Actinopteri; Cypriniformes; Cyprinidae.